CCCUUAGAUGUUCCGGGCCGCACGCGCGCUACACUGACGAUGGCAACGAGUUUUUCCUUCGCCGAAAGGUGUGGGUAAUCUUUUGAAACAUCGUCGUGCUGGGGAUAGAUCAUUGCAAUUUUUGAUCUUGAACGAGGAAUUCCUAGUAAGCGCGAGUCAUCAGCUCGCGUUGAUUACGUCCCUGCCCUUUGUACACACCGCCCGUCGCUACUACCGAUUGAAUGGUUUAGUGAGGACUCCUGAUUGGCGCCGCCGCCCCGGCAACGGAGCAGCGGACUGCCGAAAAGUUGUUCAAACUUGAUCAUUUAGAGGAAGUAAAAGUCGUAACA
This 329-nucleotide ribosomal RNA is filed under the name uncultured eukaryote. RNAcentral describes it as "partial 18S ribosomal RNA". It matches the Rfam family "Eukaryotic small subunit ribosomal RNA", at positions 1470 to 1796 of the family's 1831-position model. The record is from RNAcentral.